This 100-nucleotide non-coding RNA is filed under the name Amycolatopsis tolypomycina. Lineage: Bacteria; Bacillati; Actinomycetota; Actinomycetes; Pseudonocardiales; Pseudonocardiaceae. The record is from RNAcentral.
GAGAGCCGGAUGCGGGGCAACUCGCACGUCCGUUCGGAAGAGCGGCAUUGGGGAGACGACCUGGGGCAACCCGGGCACCGCGCCCCAUGCCGACUCUUGC